RNAcentral lists this ribosomal RNA (379 nucleotides) under uncultured cyanobacterium. Its description in RNAcentral is "bacterial SSU rRNA". It matches the Rfam family "Bacterial small subunit ribosomal RNA", at positions 376 to 770 of the family's 1533-position model. The record is from RNAcentral. Lineage: Bacteria; Bacillati; Cyanobacteriota.
CGCAAGCCUGACGGAGCAAUACCGCGUGGGGGAGGAAGGUCUGUGGAUUGUAAACCCCUUUUCUCAGGGAAGAAGCUCUGACGGUACCUGAGGAAUCAGCAUCGGCUAACUCCGUGCCAGCAGCCGCGGUAAUACGGAGGAUGCAAGCGUUAUCCGGAAUUAUUGGGCGUAAAGCGUCCGCAGGCGGCUAGAUAAGUCUGCUUUUAAAGAGUGGGGCUCAACCCCAUAGAGGGAGUGGAAACUGUUUAGCUAGAGUAUGGUAGGGGCAGAGGGAAUUCCCAGUGUAGCGGUGAAAUGCGUAGAUAUUGGGAAGAACACCAGUGGCGAAGGCGCUCUGCUGGACCGAGACUGACGCUGAGGGACGAAAGCUAGGGGAGCG